UACUGAGGAGGCUGAGGCAGGAGGAUCGCUUGAACCCGGGAGACAGAGGUUGCAGUGAGCCACCACUGCACUCCAGCCUGGGUGACAGAAUGAGACUCCAUCUCAAAAUAAAAUAAAUAAAAUAAAAUGGUGAUUUGGAGUAUUGCUUCCCUGGGAAAAUGCUCAUGGCAUGUGUAUCCUUAGAGGAAAAAGCAAGUUGUAAGAGUGUGGAAACCAUAACCCCAUUUUGUUCAUUCAAAAAUUAUUUGCAUAGAAAAAUGACCAGAAAAUAGUUACAAAUUACAGUGUUGGCAACGAUGAUGCUGAGGAGGAACAGCAGGGGCCCAUGGAGAAGGACAGGGUGCAUACCACCAGGUAUGUGCCACCACUUUUGCCUGUGAUGCCAGGAAAGGGGGCAUCCCCAUUGCUAGGGGUCUGAAGACCUGGAGUGAGAGAGAGAAUGGCUGUGCCCAUGACUGGAGGCUCAGGGCUCUGAGAGGUGGAGUCAGGGGUCUGUGGGGGAGGCAGUGGGUGAUCUCUCAACCACGUGGCUUGUCCUUCCCACGCCUGCAGAGAAACACUGGUCACCCUGCCUUUGCCCCAGCUGGCUGCUCUCCUGGGAUGUGACCUUUCACGUUGGUGGCCAAACCUGUCCAUCCUUGACACUAGCUCAGACAUCCCCUCCUCCAGGAAGCCUCCUCAGAUGUCCCUGGCCAGGCAUUUGCCUUCCUUAGUCCUCUGGAUCCCUAGUCUAGGACCGAGUGCUUCCUGCCUCCUCACUGCCUCUGACUUCUCUGGGGGGUUGAUUUAACACAGCCACGGGGGCUCAUUUCCAUAACCCCAGCCUCUGCCACAGGAACCGAUAUAGGGUUGAGCUUUACAUCCUCUCGGUGGGCUCGUGACCCCCUCAACCACACCUUCCCUUUUCUCGGGUCUCUUUCAUGUAGUGUCUCAUCAACUCCUCACCAUAGCCCUAACGGAUGGGCAUCACUAUUCAUUCCCAUUCUACAGAUGCAGAAACUGAGCUUCAGGGAAGCUGAGGAGCUCACCCUGGAUCAUAUGGCCAGCAAGUGGCACAGUCAAGAUCCGAACCCAGCUGCCCCAACACGGCCGGAGCAUUGGGACUAAGGCAGACGUGAGUGCUAGGAUCGCAGUCACCAGCACUGCUACAGCGCCUUCCCUUUUAGUGCCUCCUGUCAAUGCUGAGAGGGGAUGUAGCUGAGUUGCUUGGAGCCUUCAUGUCGGACAUCCAGGUGGGCCUGGGGACAGCCUUGGAGCUCCCGGGCCACCUAUCUGGCCACCACCGGAUGGAGUGCCCAGAUGGGGCUUCUGCCAGCUGUCCAGGAGGCAGCCCAGGCUGGGACAUCCAAGCUGAGCCCUGAGCUGGCCUGGCCUGGCCCAGCCCGCACUGAUGAGGCAAUGAAACUGAGGACACCAGACUGGGCCAGGGACUUGCCCACGUCUCUCUGCCUCGCCCAGACAUGCCGCAGCAGCAGUGGCAAACUUCUGCUUGCCACCAGAAGCCAGCUGAGUCUUCCAGCUAGGGCAUGGCAUGUGACUGGACUCUGCCAAUCAGAGGCACCUGCUCUGGAGUUUGAAUUGGAGGCUUGUCCUGUCCAGGACUCUUUCUGGAGGGAGCCUGGGCCACAUGGAGUUCCUGGCAGCUGUGAAGAAGAAGGACUUCACCAGGCUGGCUCUGUGUGCCCACAACAGCUCCGCUGGGAACCCGCCAUCCUCCGAGAAGACAUUUUAGCAACAGAGGAGGCCAUUUUGCUUUGAGAAUCAGAACCAAACCCUGCAAGGCCAGGACAGGGAAAGUCUCAGGCAAGUCACGACUGUGGCCAGGGCUUGCUGAAGACAGAAGGGCAGGGGGCUGGUGGCGGGGGCAGGCGGCCUCUGAAUGGCUUUAAGAGGAAGCAGAGAUGGGGGCGUCAUGGCUGCACUGGGGAUGACACCCUCUCCCUCUAGCUGGGUGGCCUUGGGCAGGGCCUUUCCCUCUCCAAGCUUUUGAGUCCUCAGCCUGCAAUGGCGGACUCCAGCCCCCCUCACACCACCUUGCAGGUGAGUGAGAAAACCCAGCACCAGCACCUGGGUGUGCAGCGUGGGAGAUGUUUUAGGGAUUCCACCCCUUCUUGGAGCUUUUCUAUUUAAAACAAUUUUUUUUAACUUUUUGUAGAGAUGGGGGUCUCACUGUGUUGCCCAGGCUGUUCUUGAACUCCUUGAAGUUCAAGUGAUCCUCCCACCAUAGCCUCUCAAAGUGUUAGGAUUAUAGGCGGGAGCCACCGUGCCCAGCCCCUUCUUGGACCAUGUAGUGCUUCCUGGGUCCUUUUCCUCUUUAUUCUCCCUCCCCCUGCACCCCAGAACUGAUGUGGGGCUGAUCUGACCUUACUGACAGGGUGGGAGCCCGGGUGCCCUUCCUACCCUCCCCAAGGGGCUCUACGACCCUCCAGGACAGUCUUUGCCCAGGUGCCCUGAGGGCUCCUGGAAGCAGCAGUGAGAUGCACUCUGGAGUAGAUGGCUCCCUCUCUCAGCCUCCAGCCUUUGAGUCCACUGACAUGCAGCCACAGCCAUUCCCGGCUCCACACUUGGCCCUUCAGCAAGGCCUCCUCACCACACCCUGAGCCCGUUCAUCCCCUCCUCCCUGAGGCCACCGCCCGGGUCCGCACCUCCUCAUCUCCCACCUGGACCAUCCAUGGCAGAAACCUCCCAUCUGGUCUCCUGGCCCCUCCUCGAUGAUCCCAACUCUGCCCACACCACAGGUGAUCUCCUGAUCUCCUCUGGCGUGAAUCACACUGCUCUGCCCCCCAGCCCACCUGGCUUGCUGUCAGUGCAGGGUCUAGGCCCCUCACCCCUCCUUUACCCCCACCUCCCAGCCCCUCCCCAGUGUUCCAGCCCCACUGGCCUUCCUUUGCAUCUCCCGUGGUUGUGCCCCGCUCCUGCCCCAGGACCUUCGCACAUGCUGUCCCUCAGCCCUGCAAGAACCAUCUGCUGGAGGCGAGCAGAGGCUGCCUCCUUUGAACGGGACCUGUACCCUCCACUCCCCUACCGCUGCACCACACCAGUCCAUCAUCACACUUAUGAUGUCAUCUUCUCAGAGGCAACCCGUAAACCCCUUGGGGCCCAGAGGCCACGCCUCACUCGACAGCUCGGGAGAGCCGGGCACAGGGGCAGAAGCGACUUGCCGAGGUCGUGCAGUGACAUGGAGCCACAGCCUGGCUUCCUGACACCCCUUCUGCCUUACCAGGCUGAUGCACAGGUGGGGAAGCUGAGGCCCAGAGAGGAGGCAGUUCCUGGAAAGCAAGCGGGCCGAGUUCCUCACAGAGAUCAGAAGAGCAACAAGAUCUCCAGGCCAGGGCAGAGGUCCCCGCCCUGGAUGCUGAUGACACUUCCCCUGGGCGGGAGGGGCUGGGAGCAUGCAGAUCUCAGCCCUGAACAGCCUGUCCUCUCGCCUCGAGGUUCUUGGUAGGCUGGGAACAGCCUGUCCUGCUGAGCUUCCUGUCACCUCUCUAGCUGCCCACACGCCGCACAGCUGCCACCGCCGGCCCUGGCCCGGGAGAGGGGGGUCUCUGGGGAUCUUAGCAGGCCAUGGUGGGGGUGUCUUGGGGCCAGCCUGAACUGAAAGACCAUCACAGCUUGCAAGCCACCUCCCUGCUCUGUUGCUGGCUCUCCUUGAAGACAAGUGUUUUUCAAUUAACCAAAGCGGUGCAUGGCAAUGUGAUAAGGGAAUCAAACACAGAGCAACAGAAUCAAUGCCCCACACUGGGAAAUAGCCGACUUUCUGUUCCCUCCCAUCCCUUCCUUCCCUCCCCGCCUCCUUCCCCUACUCCUUCCAUUCCACAAACAUUUAUUGAGCACCUGCUGUGUGCCAGCCACUGUUCUAGGCCCUGAAGACACAGAAGUGAACAAAAAAAGGAGUCCCUAUGCACAUCCUGGAGGGACUUUCCCCGUGUGUGUGUCUAUACAGUGUAUGGAGACAGUGGAUAAUAAAAGCUGUUUAUCAGGC
Long non-coding RNA from Pan troglodytes (chimpanzee), 3982 nucleotides. RefSeq lists it as uncharacterized. The transcript is spliced from 9 exons. The record is from RefSeq and is a predicted model, not a curated record. Lineage: Eukaryota; Metazoa; Chordata; Mammalia; Primates; Hominidae.